AGAGGGGGCAAGCGUUGUUCGGAAUUACUGGGGCGUAAAGGGGCGCGUAGGCGGCCUGCUAAGUCGAACGUGAAAUACCCCCGGGGGGGCUCAACCCGGGGGAACUGCGUCCGAUACUGGGUGGGCUUGAAUCCGGGAGAGGGAUGUGGAAUUCCAGGUGUAGCGGUGAAAUGCGUAGAUAUCUGGAGGAACACCGGUGGCGAAGGCGGCAUCCUGGACCGGUAUUGACGCUGAGGCGCGAAAGCCAGGGGAGCAAACGGGAUUAGAUACCCCGGUAGUCCUGGCCCUAAACGAUGAAUGCUUGGUGUGGCGGGUAUCGAUCCCUGCCGUGCCGAAGCUAACGCAUUAAGCAUUCCGCCUGGGGAGUACGGUCGCAAGGCUG
RNAcentral lists this ribosomal RNA (382 nucleotides) under uncultured organism. Its description in RNAcentral is "partial 16S ribosomal RNA". It matches the Rfam family "Bacterial small subunit ribosomal RNA", at positions 527 to 896 of the family's 1533-position model. The record is from RNAcentral.